CCGGCAACCGGCGCACGGGUGAGUAACACGUAUGCAACCUGCCCGUCUCAGGGGGAUAAUCGUCGGAAACGGCGUCUAAUACCCCGUAUGAGGCUGGACGGCAUCGUCUGGUUUUGAAAGAAUAUCGGAGACGGAUGGGCAUGCGGCGCAUUAGCUAGUUGGCGGGGUAACGGCCCACCAAGGCGACGAUGCGUAGGGGUUCUGAGAGGAAGGUCCCCCACACUGGUACUGAGACACGGACCAGACUCCUACGGAAGGCAGCAG
RNAcentral lists this ribosomal RNA (264 nucleotides) under uncultured bacterium. RNAcentral describes it as "partial 16S ribosomal RNA". It matches the Rfam family "Bacterial small subunit ribosomal RNA", at positions 88 to 354 of the family's 1533-position model. The record is from RNAcentral.